GAUGAACGCUGGCGGCGUGCCUAAUACAUGCAAGUCGAGCGAACAGACGAGGAGCUUGCUCCUCUGACGUUAGCGGCGGACGGGUGAGUAACUCGUGGAUAACCUACCUAUAAGACUGGGAUAACUUCGGGAAACCGGAGCUAAUACCGGAUAAUAUAUUGAACCGCAUGGUUCAAUAGUGAAAGACGGUUUUGCUGUCACUUAUAGAUGGAUCCGCGCCGCAUUAGCUAGUUGGUAAGGUAACGGCUUACCAAGGCAACGAUGCGUAGCCGACCUGAGAGGGUGAUCGCCCACACUGGAACUGAGACACGGUCCAGACUCCUACGGGAGGCAGCAGUAGGGAAUCUUCCGCAAUGGGCGAAAGCCUGACGGAGCAACGCCGCGUGAGUGAUGAAGGUCUUCGGAUCGUAAAACUCUGUUAUUAGGGAAGAACAAAUGUGUAAGUAACUAUGCACGUCUUGACGGUACCUAAUCAGAAAGCCACGGCUAACUACGUG
This 497-nucleotide ribosomal RNA is filed under the name uncultured bacterium. RNAcentral's name for it is "partial 16S ribosomal RNA". It matches the Rfam family "Bacterial small subunit ribosomal RNA", at positions 28 to 507 of the family's 1533-position model. The record is from RNAcentral.